GCACUGUUACAGUUGCGCUCCUGGUUGGCUUUGUGUUUCCGCGGUGUUGGUAGAGUCUCGGUGUUUCUACCUCUUAGCACCCUUUCCUGCCACCCUUUGUCCUGUGGAAGCCCGGAGACAUCAGCGGCUGCAAUUUUGCUACUCGCUGCUCGGCAUGGAACGGUCAGAAAUGAGCCCGUGAGUCCUGAGUUGGUGGCAGCUGCAUCUGCUGCUCUGUUUUGACAAGCAAACAAGCCAGAACUGCUCAGGCAGCUCCGUAGCAUGAGGAAGAGUCAGGGGCACAGAGAGAUGGAGAGAGACCUAGUUAGGAAAAACAUAUUCAAGGGGAAGAGAUGUAAUAGUUUUGACGUGACGACAGUUACUAAAGAAGCACCUGAACAGACACAUCACCUUCACUUUGGGAUGUGGAAUUUGCUAAAUAAGCCACAGAAAAUGAACAUCCCUUCAGAAUGGGUUUGAAGAGCUGAUCCAGUGGAUUAAAGAGGGGAAACUGGGAGUUUCCAAUUAACAAUGAAGCAGGAGCUGACUAAGGCUUUGGAACAGAAACCAGA
Long non-coding RNA from Homo sapiens (human), 551 nucleotides. Ensembl annotates it as mitochondrial ribosomal protein S31 pseudogene 5. Its record names the gene MRPS31P5. Lineage: Eukaryota; Metazoa; Chordata; Mammalia; Primates; Hominidae. The record is from Ensembl.